UACGGGGGGGGCAAGCGUUGUUCGGAAUUACUGGGCGUAAAGGGCUCGUAGGCGGCCAACUAAGUCCGACGUGAAAUCCCCAGGCUUAACCUGGGAACUGCGUCGGAUACUGGAUGGCUUGAAUUCGGGAGAGGGAUGCAGAAUUCCAGGUGUAGCGGUGAAAUGCGUUGAUAUCAUCAGGAACACCGGUGGCGAAAGCGGCUUACUGGGUCUCUUCUGACGCUGAGGAACGAAAGCUAGGGGAGCGAACGGG
This 253-nucleotide ribosomal RNA is filed under the name uncultured bacterium. Its description in RNAcentral is "partial 16S ribosomal RNA". It matches the Rfam family "Bacterial small subunit ribosomal RNA", at positions 524 to 776 of the family's 1533-position model. The record is from RNAcentral.